ACUAAACUUUUAGCCACACCUUUCUCCCCCAUCACUACCCAUUUAAUAAAACAUUUUCCCAUCUUUAGUAUAGGCGAUAGAAAAACCAUUUAGAGCUAUAGACAGUACCGCAAGGAAACAAUGAAAUAGAAAUGAAAUAACACAAAAGUACUACACAGCAGAGAUUUACUCUCGUACCUUUCGCAUCAUGAUCUAGCCAGUCCAACCAAGCAAAAAGAAUUACAGUUUGACACCCCGAAACUAAGUGAGCUACUCCGAGGCAACUUAUAGAGUCAACCCGUCUCUGUGGCAAAAGAGUGGGAAGACCUCCGAGUAGAGGUGAUAAACCUAUCGAACUUAGUGAUAGCUGGUUACUCAAGAAACGGGUGUAAGCCCAACCUUAAAUUAACUAAGCAGAUCCUAGCAACCCAACAAUUUAAGAGCCAUUCAAAUAAGGUACAGCUUAUUUGAAACAGGAUACAACCUCUACUCCCGGGUAAUGAACCCCCCCCCCCGUGAACAAGUAGGCCUAAAAGCAGCCACCUUCUAAACAGCGUCAAAGCUUUUACACGAUAUUAACUAAAUACCCCCCAUCAAUCAAAACCCAUAUAUUCUACUGAGUGACUCCAUAACACUAUGGAAGACCCUAUGCUAGAAUCAGUAACCUGAAGAACCCCCUUCUCUACGACACAAGUGUAUAUCAGAUCGGACACUCCGCUGAUAAUUAACGCCCAUGAAAAGACGGCAGCAACUCAACUAGAAAACCCUGCCUCACAAUACGUUAACCUAACACAAGAACGCCACUAGAAAGAUUAAAAGGAGCGGAAGGAACUCGGCAAACACCAACCCCGCCUGUUUACCAAAAACAUCGCCUCUUGAUAAGAUAAGAGGUCCAGCCUGCCCAGUGACUUAGUUCAACGGCCGCGGUAUCCUGACCGUGCGAAGGUAGCGUAAUCACUUGUUCUCUAAAUAAGGACUAGUAUGAAUGGCAUCACGAAGGUUGCACUGUCUCCCGCCCCCAAUCAGUGAAAUUAAUCUCCCCGUGAAGAAGCGGGGAUAAAACUAUAAGACGAGAAGACCCCGUGGAGCUUAAAACUAAGGGCACCUGCUUACCCUAAAUCAAAGUUUAGCACCCUGACCCACAGUUUUUGGUUGGGGCGACCAAGGAGAAAAACCCACCCUCCACGCUGAAUGACCACUCAUCUUAGCCUAAAGCUACUGCUUCAAGCAUCAACAUUCUGACACCCAUUGACCCAAUUUAUUGAUCAACGAACCAAGUUACCCCGGGGAUAACAGCGCAAUCUACUUCAAGAGCUCCUAUCGACAAGUGGGUUUACGACCUCGAUGUUGGAUCAGGGUACCCAAGUGGUGCAGCCGCUACUAACGGUUCGUUUGUUCAACGAUUAAAACCCU
Molecule: ribosomal RNA, 1392 nt
Filed under: Pseudophryne bibronii (brown toadlet)
Lineage: Eukaryota; Metazoa; Chordata; Amphibia; Anura; Myobatrachidae
Description: partial 16S ribosomal RNA
Rfam family: Bacterial large subunit ribosomal RNA
Source: RNAcentral